Molecule: long non-coding RNA, 692 nt
Organism: Gasterosteus aculeatus aculeatus (three-spined stickleback)
Lineage: Eukaryota; Metazoa; Chordata; Actinopteri; Perciformes; Gasterosteidae
Source: Ensembl
UGCGGAAAUGGGCUUCUGUAGUUGUGUGAAUGCAUCAUUCCAGCCAAUCCAACCAAUCAGGUGUAGAGACCAUGGUGACUGGCUCCGCCCCCUUACUGUCAAAAACAGCGAGCGCGCAGAAAACACCUUCUCGAGUAUGUUGUUUUUCACAUGAACGCAACUUUUGACCUGGGUUUGGCUCCAUGCUCGAGCGCUCAAAUUCUGGUUUUGCAAGCGAGCAAAUAGCUCCCGCGAGGUGGACUUAUGCUCUCUCGAGACCGACUUUUGGUCGCGCGUGAUUUGCGCUCUCGGGUUUUGACAGUAAUUUGCCUUCGUAGUGUGGGUUGUUGUGAGUCCGUUUCGAUCCGCUUCUUCACUGCAUUGCCCACAAUCAUCGGUCCUUACAGGGUACAACGCUGCAGUUCGCCCAUCUGGCCGACAGGUGGCAGUGACGACUACACUUUGAAAAAAAAAGCUAAACUUUAAGUGAAAAAACAGAAGGGGAGAAGAAAGGGGAAAGGAAAGAAGCUAGCGGCGCAGAGGUGAACUUUAGCGUGCAGCUAGCUCACAACUUUACCAACUCUCUGCGGUCGGCCGCAGCUUCCUUUCAGCCCGGUUCAGUCAGAGGAAACGAGGGCGCGAACAGCUGACUGACUUCCCCUUGUUUCACGCCGGCUUUGGUCAAACGCCACGCAUUGGUUCUUGUCAUCGAG